AGAGUUUGAUCCUGGCUCAGAACGAACGCUGGCGGCGUGCCUAACACAUGCAAGUCGAACGGAGUUGAGGGGCUUGCUCCUCAAUUUAGUGGCGCAUGGGUGAGUAACGCGUAGAUAAUCUGCCUGAUGAUUUGGGAUAACACUUCGAAAGGGGUGCUAAUACCGAAUAAGCCCACGGAGUCCUUGGACUCUGCGGGAAAAGGGGGGGACCUUUAUCGGCCUUCCGUCAUCAGAUGAGUCUGCGUACCAUUAGCUAGUUGGUAGGGUAAAGGCCUACCAAGGCGACGAUGGUUAGCUGGUCUGAGAGGAUGAUCAGCCACACUGGAACUGAGACACGGUCCAGACUCCUACGGGAGGCAGCAGUGGGGAAUUUUGCGCAAUGGGGGAAACCCUGACGCAGCAACGCCGCGUGAGUGAUGAAGGCUUUCGGGUCGUAAAGCUCUGUCAGAGGGGAAGAAAUGAAACGUGCUAAUAUCACGUUUUCUUGACGGUACCCUCAAAGGAAGCACCGGCUAACUCCGUGCCAGCAGCCGCGGUAAUAC
RNAcentral lists this ribosomal RNA (542 nucleotides) under uncultured Geobacter sp. RNAcentral's name for it is "bacterial SSU rRNA". It matches the Rfam family "Bacterial small subunit ribosomal RNA", at positions 8 to 526 of the family's 1533-position model. RNAcentral also lists the same sequence under 1 other name. The record is from RNAcentral. Lineage: Bacteria; Pseudomonadati; Thermodesulfobacteriota; Desulfuromonadia; Geobacterales; Geobacteraceae.